UAUCCAAUGCCAAGGGAGAAAAAACAAAGGGGGUAUUGGUUCCCUGAAGGGUGUGUAUGGUGAACCACUGGGUCCAAGCCCAAUGAACUCAAUCUCAGAGAAGGGACGAAGCCUUAAUGGCUCACAUUCAACCAAUAUUAACAAACGCGUCAGAAAAAUCUUCAGCUGGUGAUAUGAAUUUAUAGACUUCUCUCCUUUUAAUUCUGUUAGAAAUCCAAUCCAAAUGCAGAUGAAAUUUAACUCAAAUUACUUUGAAAUUAGUCAUUCUGUUAGAGGUUAUUAGUUGAGUUAGUUGGGAAAUUAGUUAGUUAGUUACUCUGUUAAAACGCUUUGAGUUUUGUUACCAAUCUGUUUCAGCAUUCUGUUAUAACUAGGAGAGGUCAUCUGUUUAAAUUAUAUUUUUCGGUUAGUUGAAAAUUGCAUUCUAUGAGGUCACUGUCAAAUUGAUGGAGCUAACUGAUGUAUUGUUAAUUGUUGAAUUGGUUAAUUGGCUGUUAGUGAAUGUUUAUUUAAUUGUUGUGUUAGAAAUUACCGUUAAUUGUAAUCCUGAAUUUUUGUCAUCGUACUGUUAUUUGGUAAAUGAUGAAUGGGUCAAAAGCUUAAUGAACUGUUAAAGCUGUUAGUUCAGUUAGAUUAGUAUUAGUUGGAUAAUGGAUUUGUUUGAUUUGAAACUGCAUUUGAAGUUGAUUUGAGAGUGAAUUUGAGGUUAGUCUCUGAUUUGGCUUGAAUUUGGAGUUAAAUGUUUUUCUGAAUUAACUGAACAUGAUUCGAAUUUUCUUACACUGCAGAAUAGUUCAAUGUAUUUAAACCAGGUUUUGCCCUGAAUUUGCAAUGCUAGGUCAAUGCUGAUGGGUUGAUUUUGGUAUGUGAUGAACCCUUUCCAUGUUUAUGUUGUCAAUGUUGAUUUUCUGCUUAAUGUGAUGCACGACAGGAUUAUGCUUGCUAUGUGCUGGAUUAUUGUUAAUUGGUGUGAAUUGUAGUUAGUGAACCCCUUUGAAAUCUAGUUAUGUUGUGAAUCACUUAGUUAACCUGAUCUAAUAUUGUUCCUUUUCUGUUAUGAGCUAUUUGCACGAUAAAUGUUUAGCAGGGAAACCGAAAUGGAGAUGUAGAAGAAGUAGCUUGCUAAUUUCGUCUUAAUGCUGUUUUGUGUCAUCUGGUGUAGCAUUAGUGAAAUCACUAUGGCUAUGUGGAUUCCACUUGUGCUUAUGGAAUGAGAGCCAUUGGAUUGCAUUGGAUUUGAAGAAAACGGUCAUGCUUUUUGCCUGCUACUGAUUGAAAGUUGAGUUGGAUAUUAAUUCUACUGAUGCAAAUAGAAUAUGCCUAGCCCUGUUAGCAAGUUGCUUGGUUAGAUCAGUUAGGUUAAUUGUUAGUGAAGGAAAUGUUAGCAGAUGAAUUGUUGUUAGUAAAUGCAUUUUAUUGUAAAUGUGUAUUAUGGAAUUGUAAAUGAAAAAUUGGAUUUUGA
Lathyrus oleraceus (garden pea) is the source of this 1462-nucleotide long non-coding RNA. RefSeq lists it as uncharacterized. The record is from RefSeq and is a predicted model, not a curated record. The transcript has 2 exons. NCBI's taxonomy places the organism in Eukaryota, Viridiplantae, Streptophyta, Magnoliopsida, Fabales, Fabaceae.